Rhinolophus ferrumequinum (greater horseshoe bat) is the source of this 15928-nucleotide RNA transcript. It is a transcript of the gene named bassoon presynaptic cytomatrix protein, with no coding region annotated. NCBI's taxonomy places the organism in Eukaryota, Metazoa, Chordata, Mammalia, Chiroptera, Rhinolophidae. The record is from RefSeq and is a predicted model, not a curated record. The transcript is spliced from 12 exons.
AUGGGCAACGAGGCCAGCCUAGAGGGCGGCGCUGGCGAUGGGCCGCUGCCGCCGGGAGGCCCUGGCCCGGGCCCGGGUGGGGGCCCCGGCACAGCGAAGCCGCCUUCAGCACCGGCCGGCGGCGGACAGCUCCCCGCGGCUGGCGCUGCGCGGGCGACAGCCGGACCACCUGGUCCUGGCCCCGGCCCGGGCCCCGGCCCCGGCCCCGGCCCCGGCCCAGGCAGCCUUUCCAGGAGACUGGACCCCCAGGAGCCCUUGGGGAGCCAGAGAGCAGCUUCCCCAACCCCGAAGCAGGCUCCUGCUACUGCUCCUGGCCACGAGAGCCCCCGGGAGACGAGGGCACAGGGCCCAGCAGGACAGGACGCUGCUGGCCCCCGCAGGACGCUGCUGGUAGACAGCAGGACGCAGAGAUCAGGGCGGUCCCCCUCUGUGUCACCGGACAGAGGCAGCACUCCCACAUCACCCUACUCCGUCCCCCAGAUCGCCCCUCUUCCCAGCAGCACGCUGUGUCCCAUAUGUAAGACCUCGGACCUCACGUCGGCCCCCAGCCAGCCAAACUUCAACACCUGCACCCAGUGUCACAACAAGGUCUGCAACCAGUGUGGGUUCAACCCCAACCCUCACCUCACCCAGGUAAAAGAGUGGCUCUGUCUGAACUGCCAGAUGCAGAGGGCUCUGGGGAUGGACAUGACCACGGCGCCUCGCUCCAAAAGCCAGCAGCAGCUGCACUCCCCUGCCCUGUCUCCUGUCCACUCCCCGGCCAAACAGCCCCUGGGGAAGCCGGAGCCAGAGAGAUCCCGGGGCCCACAGCCCGGUGCCCGCCAGGCUGAGGCAGCCAGGGCCACCCCAGUGCCGGCGUCUGCCCCAGCAGCUGCCUCUCCAGAGGUGGGGAGAGUGUCUCCUCAGCCCCCUCCCCCCAUCAAGCCUUCCACAGCUGAGCCCAGGCCACCGGCAGGAGAGACCCUGGCCAAAAGUGCCCCCACAGUGCCCUCUGGGCCUGGUGCUGCAGAGCAGAGCCAGGAGGGCCUCACCGGGAAGCUCUUUGGCCUCGGUGCCUCGCUGCUGACACAGGCAAGUACACUCAUGUCUGUGCAGCCUGAGGCCGAACCCCAGGGCCAGCCUGCCCCCAGCAAGGGGCCGCCCAAGAUCGUCUUCAGUGAUGCCAGCAAAGAGGCUGGCCCAAGACCCCUAGGCUCAGGGCCCGGGCCUGGGCCAGCACCUGGAGCCAAAACUGAGCCUGCAGCUAGAACAGGUCCUGGAUCCGGGCCUGGAGCCCUGGCGAGAACUGGGGGAACAACCAGUCCAAAGCAUGGCAGAGCAGAGCACCAGGCAGUGUCCAAGGCUACUGCCAAGCCAAAGACCAUGCCGAAGGAAAGGGCCACCUGCCCAUUGUGCCAAGCCGAGCUCAACGUGGGCAGCAAGGGCCCUGCCAACUAUAACACCUGCACCACCUGCAAGCUCCAGGUGUGCAACCUAUGUGGCUUCAACCCGACGCCCCACCUGGUGGAGAAAACUGAGUGGCUCUGUCUGAACUGCCAAACUAAGCGGCUACUGGAGGGCAGCCUGGGAGAGCCGACCCCACUACCACUGCCCACCUCACAGCAGCCCCCCGUAGGGGCCCCUCAUCGUGUGGCUGGAGCAGCCCCUCUGAAGCAGAAAGGGCCACAGGGGCUGGGCCAGCCAUCAGGCCCCCUGCCUGCCAAGGCCAGUCCCCUGCCCACCAAGGCCAGCCCUCAGGCCAAGCCCCUCAGGGCUUCUGAACCCAGCAGGACCCCGAGCAGUGCCCAGGAAAAGAAAACAGGAGUCCCAGCUAAAGCUGAGCCCAUGCCGAAACCACCUCCAGAGACUACACUGCCCCCCGGGACCCCUAAAGCAAAGACUGGAGUGCGGAAGACUGAACCUGCCAGGCCUGUCGUCAAGGCCAUUCCAGAAGCCCCCAAGGGUGGGGAGGCAGAGGAGCUGGUGGGCAAGCCUUACUCUCAGGACCUGUCUCGCAGCCCGCAGAGCCUCAGUGACACAGGCUAUUCCUCCGAUGGCGUCUCCAGCUCCCAGAGCGAGAUCACAGGGGUCGUGCAGCAGGAGGUAGAGCAGCUGGACAGUGCAGGGGUGACAGGGCCACGCCCACCCAGCCCCUCCCAGCUCCACAAGGUAGGGAGCAGCAUGCGGCCUUCGCUGCAGGCCCAGGGCCUGGCCCCCAGUGGCGAGCAGAGCAGGCCGCCCUGCAGCAGCAGUGCUGAGGAGCAGAAGCGGCGGCCACACUCCUUGUCCAUCAUGCCUGAGGCCUUCGACUCUGAUGAGGAGCUGGAGGACAUCCUGGAGGAAGAGGAAGACUCUCUAGAGUGGGGGCGCCAGAGGGAGCAGCAGGACACGGCCGAGUCCUCAGAUGACUUUGGCAGCCAGCUGAGGCAUGACUACGUGGAGGACAGCAGUGAGGGUGGCCUGUCCCCUCUCCCCCCGCAGCCCCCAGCCCGAGCAGCAGAAAUGACUGAUGAGGAGUUCAUGCGACGGCAGAUACUAGAGAUGAGUGCCGAAGAAGACAACCUGGAAGAGGAUGACGCGGCCACCUCCAGGCACAGCUUGGCCAGACAUGGCACCCAGAAGGGUGGCCCCAGGCCCAGGCCCGAGCCCAGCCAAGAGCCAGCGGCACUGCCCAAGAGGCGCCUGCCCCACAAUGCCACCACGGGCUAUGAGGAGCUGCUCUCUGAGGGAGGCCCAGCAGAGGCCACGGAUGGCACCGGAGCCCUGCAGGGUGGGCUCCGCCGCUUCAAGACCAUUGAACUCAAUAGCACGGGCAGCUAUGGCCACGAGCUGGACCUGAGCCAAGGCCCUGACCCUGGCCUGGACCGGGAGCCUGAGCUGGAGAUGGAGAGCCUGACAGGUUCCCCUGAGGACCGCUCCCGCGGAGAGCACUCCUCCACGCUGCCAGCCUCCACGCCCAGCUACACGUCAGGUACCUCUCCCACCUCCCUGUCCUCACUGGAAGAGGACAGCGACAGCAGCCCCAGCCGCCGGCAACGUCUGGAAGAAGCCAAGCAGCAGCGCAAGGCCCGGCACCGCUCCCACGGGCCCCUGCUGCCCACCAUCGAGGACUCCUCCGAGGAGGAGGAGCUGCGGGAGGAAGAGGAGCUGCUACGUGAGCAGGAGAAAAUGCGGGAGGUGGAGCAGCAGCGCAUCCGCAGCACAGCCCGUAAGACCCGAAGGGACAAGGAGGAGCUGCGGGCCCAGCGGCGGCGAGAGCGCUCCAAGACCCCACCCAGCAACCUGUCGCCCAUCGAGGACGCCUCCCCCACAGAGGAGCUGCGGCAGGCAGCCGAGAUGGAGGAGCUCCACCGCUCCUCCUGCUCCGAGUACUCGCCCUCGCCCUCCCUGGACUCGGAGGCUGAGGCCCUGGACGGGGGGCCCAGCCGGCUCUAUAAGUCGGGCAGUGAGUACAGCCUGCCCACCUUCAUGUCCCUCUACUCACCCACGGAGACACCCUUGGGCAGCUCCACCACUCCCAGCUCGGGCCGGCCCCUCAAGAGUGCUGAGGAGGCCUAUGAGGAGAUGAUGCGAAAGGCUGAGCUGCUCCAGCGGCAACAGGGCCAGGCAGCGGGGGGCCGGGGGCCCCAUGGUGGCCCCUCGCAGCCCAUAGGCCCCCGGGGCCAGGGUUCCUUUGAAUACCAGGACCCCUCAGAGCACGACUAUGGCAGGGCUGCUCAGCCUGCAUCACAGGGCACGCCAGCUGCCCUGGAAGCAGCUGUGUAUGAGGAGAUCCUCCAGACGUCACAGAGCAUUGCCCGCAUGCGUCAGGCCUCCUCACGGGACCUGGCCUUUGCUGAGGACAAGAAGAAGGAGAAGCAGUUUCUGAACGCCGAGAGUGCGUACAUGGACCCAAUGAAACAAAAUGGUGGCCCACUUACCCCUGGCACCAGCCCCACGCAGCUUGCCGCCCCUGUGUCCUUCUCCCCCUCUCCCUCUACCUCCUCAGACAGCAGUGGGGGCCGAGUCAUUCCUGAUGUCCGUGUUACUCAGCAUUUUGCAAAGGAGUCUCAAGACCCCCUCAAGCUUCACAGCUCUCCUGCCUCCCCCAGCUCCGCCUCCAAGGAGGUCAGCAUACCCUUUUCCCAGGGCCCUGGGACCCCAGCCACCACAGCUGUGGCUCCUUGUCCGUCUGGCCUGCCAAGAGGGUAUAUGACUCCGACGUCCCCAGCUGGCUCUGAGCGCAGCCCUUCACCAUCUUCCACAGCCCACAGCUACGGACAGAGCCCAACCACUGCAAACUAUGGGUCCCAGACUGAGGAGCAGCCUCAGGUCCCCAGUGGCCCUGCUGCCCGCGGACGGGCUGCCAGAGAAGAGCCCCUGAGUGUGAGUGAUGGCAAGAGCAGCACUCCCCAGCCCUCCCAGGGAUAUUCCUACUUUGCCGGCUCCAGCCCACCUCUCUCCCCGUCUUCUCCCUCAGAGAGUCCCACAUUCUCCCCUGGCAAGCUGGGCCCAAGGGCCACAGCAGAGUUCUCUACACAGACGCCAAGCCCAACCCCUGCCUCGGACAGGCCACGGAGCCCUGGUGCCCCAACCUCGACCUCCAUGGUGGCUCAGGGCACACAAACACCACACCGACCCAGCACGCCUCGCCUGGUAUGGCAGCAGCCCUCUCAGGAGGCCCCUGUUAUGGUCAUCACACUGGCAUCAGAUGCCUCCAGCCAGACCAGGAUGGUACAUGCCAGUGCCUCCACCUCCCCAGUGUGCUCACCCACUGACACCCAGCCCACCACCCACAGCUACAGCCAGACAACGCCUCCAAGUGGGUCUCAGCUGCCCUCAGAGCCUCCUGGGCCAGCUGGCUUCCCGCGGGCACCCAGUGCUGGUGCAGAUGGGCCUCUGGCACUGUAUGGCUGGGGCGCCCUCCCUGCCGAGAACAUCUCCCUUUGCCGGAUCUCCUCCGUCCCUGGAACGUCUAGGGUCGAGCCAGGCCCCAGGCCCCCUGGCAGUGCCGUGGUAGACCUUCGCACGGCUGUCAAACCCACACCCAUCAUCCUCACCGACCAGGGCAUAGACCUGACCUCUCUUGCUGUGGAAGCAAGGAAGUACGGCCUUGCCCUGGAUCCAGCCCCAGGACGGCAGUCGACCGCUGUACAGCCUUUGGUUAUCAACCUCAACGCCCAGGAGCAGACCCAUGCCUUCCUCAGCACCGCCACCACCGUGAGCAUCACCAUGGCCUCAUCUGUGCUCAUGGCGCAGCCAAAGCAGCCUGUGGUCUAUGGAGACCCAUUCCAGAGCCGGCUUGACUUUGGCCAGGGUGCGGGUAGCCCCGUGUGCCUGGCCCAGGUCAAGCAGGUAGAGCAGUCUGUUCAGACAGCCCCGUACCGAGGCGGGCCCCGGGGAAGACCCAGGGAGCCCAAGUUUGCCAGGUAUAACCUGCCCAAUCAAGUAGCACCUCUGGCCAGAAGGGAUGUUUUGAUCACUCAGAUGGGCAGUGUCCAGAGUGUUGGCCUCAAGUCAGGCCUGGUACCAGAGCCCGGUGCCGAACCUCACCGGGCUGCCCCAGCAGAGUUACGGUCUCAUGCUCUGCCGGGUGCCAGGAAGCCACACACGGUGCUGGUACAGAUGGGAGAGGGCACGGCAGGCACUGUGACCACACUGCUCCCAGAGGAGCCCGCGGGUGCCCUGGACCUCACCGGGAUGAGGCCUGAGAGCCAACUGGCAUGCUGUGACAUGGUCUACAAGUUCCCCUUUGGCAGUAGCUGCACAGGCACCUUCCAUCCCGCCCCCAGCGCACCUGAGAAGAGUGUGGUAGAUGUUGCCCCACCCGGCCAAACCAAUGGCCCCUUCUACAAUCCCCAGGACCCUGAGCCUCCCGAGCCUCCCACCUACCGGGCACAGGGGGUAGUGCCUGAGGAGCAGAGGCCCUGCCCACAGGGCCUCCCAGGCAGGCUAUACUCCUCCAUGUCUGACACCAAUUUGGCUGAGGCUGGCCUCAACUACCAUGCCCACAGAUUGGGGCAGCUCUUCCAGGGCCCUGGACGAGACUCGGCUGUGGACCUGAGCUCGCUGAAGCAAUCCUACAACCUGGGCUUUGCGGACGGACGCUACGUUGGGCAGGGCUUGCAGUAUGGCUCAUUCACAGACCUGCGUCAUCCCACAGACCUUUUGACUCACCCACUUCCCAUGCGGCGCUACAGCUCAGUAUCAAACAUCUACUCUGACCACAGGUAUGGCCCACGGGGAGAUGCAGCUGGCUUCCAGGAGGCCAGCCUGGCCCAGUACAGUGCCACCACAGCCCGUGAGAUCAGCCGCAUGUGCGCGGCCCUCAAUUCCAUGGACCAGUAUGGAGGGCGGCAUGGCAGUGGUGGUGGUGGUGGCCCCGACCUCAUGCAGUAUCAGCCCCAGCCUGGGCCUGGGCUCAGUGCCCCGCAGGGUCUGGCUCCCCUCAGACCUGGCCUUCUUGGGAACCCCACCUUCCCGGAGGGCCACCCAAGUCCUGGGACCCUGGCCCAGUACCGGCCUACGGCAGCCCAGGGAGCAGCAGUCAGACAGCUGCUGCCAUCCACAGCCACCGUGCGUGCAGCCGAUGGCAUGAUCUACUCGACUAUCAACACCCCAAUUGCUGCAACACUGCCCAUCACCACCCAGCCCGGCUCAGUACUGCGGCCUAUGGUGCGCGGUGGCCUGUACAGGCCUUACGGAUCUGGUGGGAUCACAGCCGUGCCGCUCACCAGCCUGACACGCAUGCCCAUGAUUGCCCCCCGGGUACCUCUCGGGCCCACAGGGCUAUACCGAUAUCCUGUACCAAGUAGAUUCCCCACUGCUUCCAGCAUUCCACCUGCUGAGGGUCCUGUCUACCUGGGGAAACCUGCUGCUGCCAAGGUGCCAGGGGUUGGGGGCCCACCAAGGCCAGAGCUGCCAGCAGGGGCGGCUCGGGAAGAGCAUCUGUCCACAGCCACCCCUGCUGCUGCCAAGGAGGCUGGAGCAGCCCCAGCCCCCCUGGUUGGCCAGAAGCCACCAGUAGAUGCUGCUCCUGGGGGCGGCAGUGGGGCCCUCAGCCGGCCAGGGCUUGACAAGGAGGAAGCAUCGCAGGAGGAGAGGCAGCGGAAGCAGCAGGAGCAGCUGCUGCAGCUGGAGCGGGAGCGGGUAGAGCUGGAGAAGCUGCGGCAGCUGCGGCUACAGGAGGAGCUAGAGAGGGAGCGCGUGGAGCUGCAGAGGCACCGGGAGGAAGAGCAGCUUCUGGUGCAGCGGGAGCUGCAAGAGCUGCAGACCAUCAAGCACCACGUGCUGCAGCAGCAGCAGGAGGAACGCCAGGCCCAGUUUGCACUGCAGCGGGAGCAGCUGGCACAGCAGCGUCUGCAGCUGGAGCAGAUCCAGCAGCUUCAGCAGCAGCUACAGCAUCAACUGGAGGAGCAGAAGCAGCGGCAGAAAGCCCCCUUCCCUGUGGCCUGUGAGGGACCUGGCCGAGGGCCUCCCCCAGCAGCCACUGAACUGGCUCAGAAUGGCCAGUACUGGCCGCCCCUGACCCAUGCGGCCUUCAUUGCCAUGGCAGGGCCUGAGGGGCCCGGGCAGCCUCGGGAGCCCGUGCUGCACCGCGGUCUCCCCAGCUCUGCCUCGGACAUGUCGCUGCAGACUGAGGAGCAGUGGGAGGGAAGCCGCGGUGGCCUCAAGAAGCGGCACUCGAUGCCACGCCUGCGGGACGCCUGCGAGCCAGAGUCGGGGCCAGAGCCCUGCAUGGUCAAGAGGAUUGCGGACACCAGCGUGCAGACGGACGAUGAGGAUGGGGAGGGCCGCUACUUCCUGUCCCGGCGGCGCCGGACACGGCGGAGCGCUGACUGCAGUGUACAGACAGACGACGAAGACAGCGCUGAGUGGGAGCAGCCAGUGCGCCGCCGCCGGUCCCGUCUUUCCCGCCACUCAGACUCCGGCUCGGACAGCAAGCAUGAAGCGAUCGCCUCGUCGUCCACUGCCACCGCCGCUGCGAGGGCCAUGAGCAGCGUGGCCAUCCAGACUAUCAGUGACUGCUCUGUGCAGACGGAGCCCGACCAGCUGCCCAGGGUCUCUCCAGCCAUCCACAUCACAGCUGCUACGGAUCCCAAGGUGGAGAUCGUCAGGUACAUCUCGGCACCAGAGAAGACUGGGCACGGGGAGAGCCUGGCCUGCCAGACGGAGCCGGAUGGGCAGGCCCAGGGGGUGGCUGGGCCGCAGCUUGUAGGGCCAGCCGCCAUCAGCCCCUACCUGCCUGGCAUCCAGAUCGUCACUCCAGGGCCCCUGGGCAGAUUCGAAAAAAAGAAGCCGGAUCCCCUGGAAAUUGGAUACCAGGCCCACCUGCCCCCGGAGUCCCUCUCACAGCUUGUGAGCCGCCAGCCUCCCAAGUCCCCCCAGGUCCUCUACUCACCAGUCUCACCCCUGUCCCCACACCGGCUCCUGGAUGCCUCCUUUGCUUCCAGUGAGAGGCUGAACAAGGCUCACGUGAGUCCCCAGAAGCACUUCGCGGCUGACAGCGCUCUCCGCCAGCAGACGCUGCCUCGCCCCAUGAAGACCCUGCAGCGGUCCUUGUCUGACCCUAAGCCCCUCAGCCCCACCGCCGAGGAGUCUGCCAAAGAGAGGUUCUCCCUCUACCAGCACCAGGGGGGACUGGGUAGCCAGGUGUCGGCGCUGCCACCCAACGGCCUGGUCCGCAAGGUGAAGCGGACACUGCCCAGCCCCCCUCCAGAGGAGGCUCAUCUGCCCCUGGCUGGCCAGCCCCCCCCACAGCUGUAUGCAGCCAGCCUGCUGCAGCGUGGGCUGGCGGGGCCCACCGCUGUCCCUGCCACCAAGGCCAGUCUGCUCCGGGAGCUGGACCGGGACCUGCGGCUGGUGGAGCACGAAUCCACCAAGCUGCGCAAGAAGCAGGCAGAGCUGGAUGAAGAGGAGAAGGAGAUCGACGCCAAGCUCAAGUACCUGGAGCUGGGUAUCACACAGCGCAAAGAGUCUUUGGCCAAAGACCGGGGUGGCCGUGACUACCCACCCUUGCGUGGUCUCGGCGAACAUCGUGACUACCUAUCGGACAGUGAACUCAACCAGCUGCGGCUCCAGGGCUGUGCCACUCCUGCAGGCCCAUAUGCAGACUUCCCUGUCACGGCCGCUCCCACCACCAACUCCGGCCCCACUGCCUUCCAGCAGCCCCGGUUCCCACCUCCGGCCCCACAGUACACUGCAGGCAGCGGUGGGCCAACUCCAAAUGGAUUCCUAACCCACCAAGCACCCACCUACCCUGGCCCCAGCACGUACCCAGCACCUGCCUUUCCUCCUGGCACCAGUUAUCCAGCGGAGCCUGGCUUGGCAAGCCAGCAGGCUUUCCGUCCCACAGGCCAUUAUGCAGCCCAAACACCCAUGCCAACCACACAGAGCACCCUUUUCCCAGUCCCGGCCGAUAGCCGCGCCCCCCACCAGAAGCCACGCCAGACAUCACUAGCUGACUUGGAGCAGAAGGUGCCCACCAACUAUGAGGUGAUCGCCAGCCCUGUGGUGGCCAUGUCUUCAGCCCCAUCUGAAACGAGCUACAGUGGCCCAGCGGUAAGCAGCAGCUAUGAGCAAGGCAAGGCCCCUGAGCUGCCUCGGGCCAGUGACCGCGGCAGCAUGAGUCUGAGCCCGGCCCCCACCUAUCCCUCUGACUCACACUACACCAGCCUGGAGCAGAAUGUCCCUCGGAAUUAUGUGAUGAUCGAUGACAUCAGUGAGCUGACAAAGGACAGCACCUCCACUGCCCCUGAUAGCCAGCGACUGGAGCCCCUGGGGCCAAGCGGCAGUGGGCGUCCUGGGAAAGAGCCCGGAGAAGCAGGUGUCCUGGAGGGGCCUGCACUGCCCUGCUGCUACACCCGAGGGGAGGAAGAAUCCGAGGAGGACUCUUAUGACCCCCGUGGGAAGAGCAGCCAUCACCGGAGCGUGGAGAGUGACAGCCGACCAGCCAGCGCCCACUACUACAGUGACAGCGACUACCGCCACGGGGCUCGAGCUGAGAAGUACGGUCCCGGCCCCAUGGGCCCCAAGCAUCCUUCCAAGAGCCUAGCCCCAGCUGCCAUCUCCUCAAAGCGCAGCAAGCACCGGAAGCAGGGCAUGGAGCAAAAGAUCUCCAAGUUCUCGCCUAUUGAAGAAGCCAAGGAUGUGGAAUCGGACCUGGCCUCCUACCCCUCCCCUGCGGUCAGCAGCGGCCUGGCCUCUCGGGGCAGGAAGUUCCAGGACGAAAUCACCUACGGGCUCAAGAAGAACGUGUAUGAGCAACAGAGAUACUACGGGGUGUCCAGCCGGGACCAGGUGGAGGAGGACGACCGCAUGUACAGUGGAAGCAGCCGGUCCCGGGUGGCAUCUGCAUACAGUGGGGAGAAGCUGUCCAGCCAUGACUUCGGUGGCCGGGGCAAGGGGUAUGAGCGGGAACGGGAGACUGUGGAGCGGCUUCAAAAAGUGGGCCCCAAGCCCUCAUCCCUGAGCAUGGCCCAUGGUCGGGCCCGACCCCCCAUGCGGAGCCAGGCCUCUGAAGAAGAGAGCCCUGUCAGCCCCUUGGGACGGCCCCGCCCCGCCGGGGGCACCCUCCCUCCGGGGGACACCUGCCCACAGUUCUGCUCCAGCCACUCCAUGCCUGACGUCCAGGAGCACGUCAAGGAUGGACCGCGGGCCCACACAUACAAGCGUGAGGAGGGCUACAUCCUGGACGACUCCCACUGCGUAGUUUCCGACAGCGAAGCAUAUCACCUGGGCCAGGAGGAGACAGACUGGUUUGAUAAGCCCCGGGAUGCCCGCUCUGACCGAUUCAGGCACCAUGGGGGCCACGCAGUCUCCUCCUCCUCCCAGAAGCGAGGCCCUGCCAGGCACAGCUACCACGACUACAAUGAGCCCCCCGAAGAAGGCCUGUGGCCACAUGAUGAGGGUGGCCCAGGCCGACACACCUCAGCCAAGGAACACCGGCACCACAGCGACCACGGGCGGCACUCAGGCCGCCAUGCUGGCGAGGAGCCGGGCCGGCGUGCUGCCAAACCACAUGUUCGGGACCUGGGUCGCCAUGAGGCCCGGCCUCACCCUCAGCCCAGCCCGGCCCCGGCCAUGCAGAAGAAGGGUCAGCCUGGGUACCCCAGCCCCGCUGAAUACUCACAGCCAUCCCGUGUCCCAUCAGCAUACCAUCAUGCCUCUGACAGCAAGAAGGGCUCCCGGCAGGCCCAUUCGGGGUCCGCUGCACUGCAGCCAAAGCCAGAACCCCAGCCGCAGCCACAGCCACAGGGCCGGCAGGCACCACCAGGGCCGCAGCAGUCACAGCCGCCACCAUCCAGGCAGACACCCUCAGCACCAUCAUCGCGCCAGCCGCAGACACAGCAGCAGCAGCAGCAGCAGCAGCAGCAGCAGCCAGGUCACGGGCUACAGCACCCCCAGCAGACGCCGUCGCAGGCUCGGCUGCAGCAGCAGGGCCAGCCAACUGCACGGGGCCCGGCCCCUGCUGCCAGCCAGCCAGCAGGGAAGCCUCAGCCAGGCCCCGCAACAGCCACAGGCCCCCAGCCAGCUGGACCGCCACGGGCAGAGCAGACAAACGGCUCUAAGGGGGCAGCCAAAGCACCCCAGCAGGGGAGGCCUCCUCAGGCCCAGCCACCAGCAGGACCUGGACCGGCAGGUGUGAAGGCUGGAGCUAGGCCCGGAGGGACCCCAGGGGCUCCUGCUGGCCAGCCAGGUGCCGAGGGGGAGAGUGUUCUCUCCAAGAUCCUCCCUGGGGGGGCAGCAGAGCAGGCCGGCAAGCUGACGGAAGCCGUCUCUGCUUUUGGCAAAAAAUUCUCCUCAUUCUGGUGACCAUGCCCUGUAGGGCUCCUAAAGAGAUGAAAGGAGACGAUAUCGUUGCUGUGGAAAAAUCUCUGGAGUCAGAGGCCUGGGCACAGCUCUGGACUCUGCGUAUAACACAUCUACAAUCUGGCGAACCCCUGGCCCACAGACUCACCAAGUGGGACGUGGCAGGCGGCCUCAGUUGAGGCGGGAUGUUUUCUCACAGUAGCUGCCUGGGUGAAGCAUCUGCUGGACAAGUGGGACCACUGGCCCAGGGGACCUUUGAUUGUCUUUCCAGAGACCCUGCUCUCCUCAGGGCGCCACCUUCAAGGCUUUGCCGUGGUUGGGAGGGAGGAGCCCUCUCUGGAAACCCUGCCACCGUGCAGUCUUGCUGCUCUUCCCACAGCCGCCUUCUGCAGCCUGGCCAGCCAGGCUGCCUAUGCGUUAUACACAGAGUUGGGGUGCACGCUGCCUGUUUUUGACGGAUGCUGCCCUCCCUCCGCAAUGCCAGAAGUUUUUCCACAGCCUUGGAGAGAGGCUUUGAUUGGAGGCUGAUGGCUCCGGGCUCCGUUUCCUUCACAUUCCAGCUGGCCCGGAUCCCUCUGGGGCCACAGGGCCCUGCCUCCCUCACCCUGCCCUCUGGGCGACAUCGGAGCAGACUUCCAUGUGGCUAGUGUGGGGUUGGGAGAACUUUACAAACAUUAGGACCUAACACUGUCUCAUUGCUGAAAUAAGAGGCCAUAGCACCGAAAAGCAGCGUGGGCGCUGGCUGAGGCUUCUCCCAGCCCAUGGGUGGCAGCGUGCUAGCAUGCCUGCCACCAUCUCAAAGCCAUCCCCCAGCCAUCGUGAGCAUCCCAGCGGCACCGCCAUUGUCUCAACCAGCCGGCUCCUCGUUCGUAUACCUGGGGAUUUCUUUUGAUUUUAAGAACAGCCUUAAUCAUUUCAGUUUGGUUUACGUGUAUACCUCAUAAACACUUUUGUUUCUCCUUCUCUCCUCUCUUCUCUGUUUGCUCACCUUCUUGCCUUUCCCCUCCACCACCCCCUUGUGACUGAUGGUUUGGUUUCCUCUCUGCUCUGUCCCUGCUCCGCACAGAGAGAAUGUUGACUCAGAAGCAAUAGUGGGCAGUAGGCCACCAAGAGCACAACCCCAGGGCGAGGUCUAGGGAGGCCCCUCAGCCCACCUCUGUUUACUGUGCAAUUCCAGUCCUUCUUAAGCCAUCACCAGUGGGCGCGCUCAGAGCAGAGGGGCCAGGGCUUCUGCCAGCCAAGGGAAGGGCCCAGAGCCCUGUGUUGGGGAGUGUGACACCAUCCAUCCACCUGGUGGACUGGGUGGCAUUCCUCCCCAAGGCCCUUCCCUUUGGGACUUCCUUUUAUCUCGGGCUCAGCCACAAGUCUCAUCUCUAACGUUCUAUGCAAUGAAAUAUAAACCCUCAAAGACAACUGUUAAUAUUUAAUAAAUUCCAUGUUAUGUAUAAGAGUUAAUUGCAGACAUGCAAUUGAGAAACUGGAUAGAUAUGCUCAUAUCAAACCCCCUACCGCUGCCCACCGCGCUCCCACCGUGUGUGUGAAGUUCUUAGUCUGUGGCAUGUUUGACCUGUGGCAGGACUCACUGCUGCCAGGUGAGUCACCACCUGGCUUGCAGUGGAGAGCAUGCACAGCUCGCAGCCUCUUUGCACGAUUUCAUCCAUUUUAAAUGCUCUACCCUCUUGCUUGGAGUUCUUUUUGCCUCAGAACCUCUCCUUCAGGAGUGCUUCUAGCUGAAUCCUGCACGAGCUAGUGAGGACCUGCCAGAAUUGUUGCCAGAGCAUGCCAGGCUGCGGGCCAGACAGUGCGAGGCCCGACGUGCCCUGCAGUUUUCUCUGACCAAGUCGGCAGGUGACAGGGAGUCUCUGGAGUAGACACUCGGGUGGAGCCUGGACAGGGUGUGUAUGCAUGCACAUUUGGAAGAUUUGCUGUCACAUUCUGAAGGUUUCCAUCUGUAAGUCGCUCCCCGUCCUCCCCCAGCCCUGAGCCAGAGGCAUCUGGCCACCCCCUUCCCAGUGGCGCCCUGCUCAAGGGCAGAGCUGGGCUGCGUCCGUGGCCAGAGGCAGACGAAAGGCAGGGCCUUGCUGUGUCCUAGGGACCCCAGUUCCUGACUCCACCUGUUCCAUGCCUCUCCUCUGUGGCUGGGAAGAAGCUCAAAGGUCUGUGAGCCAAGAGAUGGGUUCUGGGGGUCAAAGGGUGCUCAGGAAGAGCUAGACGUCUGGCACUUGUGGUGAGGACAGUUGACAAUGUCAUCUUGGACCAACGCAGGUGUUCACAUAGACAGUGGCUUCAAGCUGAGUUUCUUGGGAAGCUUCUCAAUAGCAAAACUUAGAGAAAGUCCUUUGUGACCGUCUCUGCCUCUGGAUAAGGAGUCUCUGUAAUGCAGUCCAGGCCUUCUCCAUACCUGCCUCCCCAGUGUCAUAAGCAAGGGCAUUGCAUGCCCACCCUCGUCUCUGAAGCCCAAGUAUCCCGCUGCUCAUCAGCUUCUCUACGACGGAGCCAGGAGUGCGGCAGGCAGUGGCUACCAACCCCUCGGCCUGGCUUUCCUCCAGACUGCUCUGGUUUGCAUUUCUCAGGGUCCACAUUUCUCAUGCUUUCCUAUAAGGUCUACAUGGCCCUUCAGAGAGGGAUCCUGGCACACCUCUGGCAGCUGUGGAUGGGACAGGAGGCUGUCAACCUUUGUGUUCGGCCUGAGACCCUGGUCCUCCAGGAUUUGGGCCUCGCCCAUCCCAUAGAACACCUGCCUCAUCUAAGAUCAGACUUGGGCCAUGUGAGGCUGUCUGAGCAAGGGCUGAGGGAGGCCACCAUCCAUCACAUCUGACCACCCAGAGCCAGGUUUAUGUAGGGAUGUGCCUAGUGGCUGGAUCUAUGGGGGCCCAAGGCAGUAAUCCUUCCAACGAAAAGCCGGGGGAUAGGACCAGGAGCAGGGAAAACGGAGACGGGGAGAUAACAGCAGGUCAGCCUCCGUCAGACCUAUUCUAAAAUACUGACUUUUAGCAAAUUUCCUUUCUGGCCAAGCCCUCUGAGUUUGACAUUUCUGACAUCUGCCAUCCUCCACGCCCCCCAGUGUACCCACAGGAUACAUCUGUACCCAUCACCCCUGGUGAAGGUGGCUAGAGCAGGCCUCUGGGCCAUAGGUGUCCUAGCCCUGUGUGGAUGCAGCUGUGGCUCUGGGGGCACUGCAGCCAGAGGCUAAGGGACCAGCAUUUGGUACCUUGGGAAAAGGAACAUAAGACAUAUCUCCAAAUGGAUAAUGGAUCUCUGUAAUGCAGUCCAGGCCUUCUUCAUACCUGCCUCCCCAGUGUCGUAAGCAAGGGCAUUGCCUCCUCUGCCCACUUCAGGGCCCGCCCAAUACACUCAUUUCACAGAGACACCAUCCCUUCCUCACCAUCUGCUUAGUCCUUGGGAAGAAAGUGUGGUCUCAGGGACCAUGAUGAGAGGGCAGCAAUGGCAGCAACUAUGGCCUGUCUUCUGGAGCCUGUGUGUGUGUGUGGGGGGGAAGGUUCAAAGCCUUUGCCAUGGCAGCAUGGCCCUGGCCGGCUGGCGCCUGCCUGCCCUUGUGUCCCCUCCCCCAUUUUGUAAAUACUAAUCAUCAUGGAUUCCGACAGGGUCAGAGUAACAGGCCUGAUCAACUGAAACUCCUCAGAGAUGUCAUCUCUGUCUCCCCGGGGACCAGCAGUCCUGCUGCCAUGUGCACUGGGGUGGCAUGGAGAGCCGUGGAAGUUGUGAGAUAGUGUGUGUGUAUGCACGUGAUCAAGCGUGUGAGCGGAUAUGUGUGCGCGUCUGCCUCAUUCAGCCUCUGGAAUCAAAUCAGCUCCUCUCUCCAAGUGCAGUGCCCUGGAGAGUGGGGGCUGCCCAGCGCCUUUCUCUGCCAGCUUCCAUGUCUUGUUUUUGCUUUCCCCUCACUCCUUCCCUUUCUUUCCUCUUUCCCUUUCUUUCCUUCUCUCCUUCUUUAUUUGAGGGGGGAAGAGUGCUGUACAAAGUCAAACAAAUAAGUUUACAGUUGUAAGUGCAAUGACCCGAGUCCUCCACAUGACCUUGUGAAAUGUGUGCCGUCCUCUUGUGCUCUGUGAGAACUCAUGGUACUUCAGUGUCCCUCCCCCUGUAUUGUGACAAGGUAAUUCUGUGGUAUCAGAAUAAAAGGACUUGAUUUAACAACCUA